This 253-nucleotide ribosomal RNA is filed under the name uncultured bacterium. Its description in RNAcentral is "partial 16S ribosomal RNA". It matches the Rfam family "Bacterial small subunit ribosomal RNA", at positions 524 to 776 of the family's 1533-position model. The record is from RNAcentral.
UACAGAGGUCUCAAGCGUUGUUCGGAUUCAUUGGGCGUAAAGGGUGCGUAGGCGGCGCGGUAAGUCGGGUGUGAAAUCUUGGAGCUUAACUCCGAAACUGCAUUCGAUACUGCCGUGCUUGAGGACUGGAGAGGUGAGUGGAACUGCGAGUGUAGAGGUGAAAUUCGUAGAUAUUCGCAAGAACACCAGUGGCGAAGGCGGCUCACUGGCCCGGUACUGACGCUGAGGUGCGAAAGCGUGGGGAGCAAACAGG